RNAcentral lists this long non-coding RNA (273 nucleotides) under Phaseolus vulgaris (common bean). RNAcentral describes it as "long non-coding RNA (PVUL_LNC000490)". The record is from RNAcentral. Lineage: Eukaryota; Viridiplantae; Streptophyta; Magnoliopsida; Fabales; Fabaceae.
AAACAGCACCAUCCUCACUACUCCACCCAUGCUUCUCUGAAACUUUCUUUCAUCAUGGCCGUUCGAGCAGUAGCCACCUGCUCCCUCUUCCGCCCUCCCUCUCCGUCCCUCUUCUCCGCCACCCUCCGCCUCUACUCCUCUCGCUACCGCUUCUCCCGCUCCCUCCGUCAUGCCUCCCACUCCCACGCCCGCUCCAUCCACUCUGUCUUCGACACUGUCAUGGAAGAGCUCCGUGCCACGCGCAGAAGCCGCCACAAGCGCGUUUCCGCCGCG